AUCUCCCUAAUGGAGGGGAAUAACUAUUGGAAACGGUAGCUAAUGCCACAUAAUGUCGUAAGACCAAAAUGGGGGACUUAAUUUUUUAAGCCUCAUGCCAUUAAAUGAACCCAGAUGUGAUUAGCUAGUAGGUGAGAUAAUAGCUCACCUAGGCUACGAUCUCUAGUUGGUCUGAGAGGAUGACCAGCCACACUGGAACUGAGAUACGGUCCAGACUCCUACGGGAGGCAGCAGUGGGGAAUAUUGCACAAUGGGGGAAACCCUGAUGCAGCUAUACCGCGUGUGUGAAGAAGGCCUUAGGGUUGUAAAGCACUUUCAGCGGGAAAGAAAGUGAUAUUAAUUAAUAAUUAAUAUCAAUUGACGUUACCCGCAAAAGAAGCACCGGCUAACUCCGUGCCAGCAGCCGCGGUAAGACGGAGGGUGCAAGCGUUAAUCGGAAUUACUGGGCGUAAAGCGUAUGCAGGCGGUUUAUUAAGUCAGAUGUGAAAGCCCUGGGCUUAACCUAGGAAUUGCAUUUGAAACUGAUAAGCUAGAGUCUCGUAGAGGGGGGGAGAAUUCCAAGUGUAGCGGUGAAAUGCGUAGAGAUUUGGAAGAAUACCAGUGGCGAAGGCGCCCCCCUGGACGAAAACUGACGCUCAAAUACGAAAGCAUGGGGAGCAAACAGGAUUAGAUACCCUGGUAGUCCAUGCUGUAAACGAUGUCGAUUUGAAGGUUGUAGCCUUGAGCUAUAGCCUUCGAAGCUAACGCAUUAAAUCGACCGCCUGGGGAGUACGACCGCAAGGUUAAAACUCAAAUGAAUUGACGGGGGCCCGCACAAGCGGUGGAGCAUGUGGUUUAAUUCGAUACAACGCGAAAAACCUUACCUACUCUUGACAUCCAGAGUAUCAAACAGAAAUGUUUGAGUGCCUUCGGGAACUCUGAGACAGGUGCUGCAUGGCUGUCGUCAGCUCGUGUUGUGAAAUGUUGGGUUAAGUCCCGCAACGAGCGC
Molecule: ribosomal RNA, 988 nt
Filed under: Candidatus Palibaumannia cicadellinicola
Lineage: Bacteria; Pseudomonadati; Pseudomonadota; Gammaproteobacteria
Description: bacterial SSU rRNA
Rfam family: Bacterial small subunit ribosomal RNA
Source: RNAcentral